UACGUAGGGUGCGAGCGUUGUCCGGAAUUAUUGGGCGUAAAGAGCUCGUAGGCGGUGUGUCACGUCGGCCGUGAAAACCUGGGGCUUAACUCUGGGCGUGCGGUCGAUACGGGCAUCACUAGAGUUCGGCAGGGGAGACUGGAAUUCCUGGUGUAGCGGUGAAAUGCGCAGAUAUCGAGAGGAACACCUGCGGCGAAGGCGGGUUGCUGGGCUGAUACUGACGCUGAGGCGCGAAAGCCAGGGGAGCGAACGGG
RNAcentral lists this ribosomal RNA (254 nucleotides) under uncultured bacterium. RNAcentral describes it as "partial 16S ribosomal RNA". It matches the Rfam family "Bacterial small subunit ribosomal RNA", at positions 524 to 776 of the family's 1533-position model. The record is from RNAcentral.